UGGGGAAUUUUGCGCAAUGGGCGAAAGCCUGACGCAGCGACGCCGCGUGGGUGAUGAAGGCCCUCGGGUUGUAAAGCCCUGUGGGGAGGGAAGAAUAAGGGUAUGUGAAUAGCAUAUCUGAUGACGGUACCUCCUUAGCAAGCACCGGCUAACUCUGUGCCAGCAGCCGCGGUAAGACAGAGGGUGCAAACGUUGUUCGGAAUUACUGGGCGUAAAGCGCGUGUAGGCGGCUAGGCAAGUCGGGUGUGAAAGCCCUUGGCUCAACUGAGGAAGAGCACUCGAAACUGCAUAGCUUGAGUUCUGGAGAGGAUGGUGGAAUUCUCGGUGUAGAGGUGAAAUUCGCAGAUAUCGAGAGGAACACCAGUGGCGAAGGCGGCCAUCUGGACAGAAACUGACGCUGAGACGCGAAAGCGUGGGUAGCAAACA
This 426-nucleotide ribosomal RNA is filed under the name uncultured prokaryote. Its description in RNAcentral is "bacterial SSU rRNA". It matches the Rfam family "Bacterial small subunit ribosomal RNA", at positions 355 to 774 of the family's 1533-position model. The record is from RNAcentral.